GGGUGGCCUUGGACCAACACAAUACUCCCCUCAUUCUUGCUUGUCAUUCUUAAGAAUAACUGUAGAAUGUGCUGGGAGUGCAGUAUCCUGAGAUAGGGAGGAACUGCCUGAAACAGCAAAAGCCUUGUUCCAGUCCUUCCUGGAGAAUCUAACAUCUUGAGAUAGGGAGGAACUGCCUGGGACAGCCCAGCCUUUGUUCCUUUCUCUCAGAAGCAGGAUGUCCUUCAAAGCUUUGCUAAAUGAGUCACAUGGCCCCUGAGGUAUAUAACUCAGGAAAGGCUGCCUUUUGGGGUCUCUCAGCUAUGGUGCAAGUGAGGCAUGCUUAAUCGAGACUCAUUCACCCAGGCAGCUUUCUUGAGUCUUGGGAAACCAUCUCACAGUGGAUCCUAGGCUUCUUUUGUCCCUUGCUGCCUAUCUGUUACCUGGCAAAGUCUUUCAAAACUCAACUCAAAGACUGUCUCCUCCGCGAAACCUUCCUUGACCUCCCUGGAUGGAGUUAAGCACCCCCUUCUCUGCUCCAGACGCCCUGGUGUUCUCCCAUUGUAACAUGUAUCACAAUGUGCUGGGAUUGUCAAGCGAUUUUUCUGCCUCUUCCGCUGGACUAUGAGCUCUGGGAGGGUAAGAACCAUGUAUCUAUCCUCAGGGCCUAGCAC
RNAcentral lists this long non-coding RNA (653 nucleotides) under Homo sapiens (human). RNAcentral's name for it is "HSALNT0408764". The record is from RNAcentral. Lineage: Eukaryota; Metazoa; Chordata; Mammalia; Primates; Hominidae.